UUGCGGCGAUGCCGUAAGGCGGAUGUGUGCGGUUUCGAUCUGGUGUGUGGAGUGUUUGGUGGAGUCUCUGCUUUGGGUGAUCGGGCCUUUGGUGUAAUCGGCGAUCGAGCGCCGUGUAUUUGGUGCUGGUUCCCCGGUCCAGUUGUGUCCCUGCGUCCGGGUUUCGGUGCUCGGUAGCCGGUUGCCGCUAUGUUGCUCACCGUUUACUGCGUGCGGCGCGACUUGAGCGAGAUUACCUUCACCCUGCAGGUGAAUGGCGGCAUGCAGCUGGAGACUUUCCGGGCUCUCUGUGAAAUGGAGAGCAAUAUCCCCGCGACCGAGAGCCAGAUAAUCUUUGCGGAGAGGCCAUUGACUGAUGAUCGGCUGACACUGACAGCGUAUGGAUUGAAGGAUGGUGAUGUACUGGUAUUGCGACAGUUGGAAAGACCUCCAAUGCAGUCUAGUCUACCACUCCCAGGUGUAUCAGGACUUCCCAGGAUUGACUUCAGUGGUAUCUCGGUGCCUGGGUCAAUGGGGCACAGAAUCCCUGCGUCUGGAGUAGCUAAUCAGCAGCCACCAAAGCCAACUUCCAGUAGCUCUACUUCUCCUCCCCCUGUUCCAGCUCCACACAGUUUGGAAAAUAAUCCGACUUUACUAAGGGACAUGCUUCUGGCUAAUCCACAUGAGCUAUCGCUAUUGAAGGAACGGAAUCCUCCUUUAGCUGAGGCGCUUCUUAGUGGAGAUCUUGAUAAGUUUACAAGCGUGCUACGAGAACAGCAACUGGAACGAGCUCGGCGAGAACAGGAGAGAAUCCGACUUCUGAAUGCUGAUCCCUUUGACCUGGAGGCACAGGCCAAAAUUGAAGAAGACAUCAGACAGCAGAACAUUGAGGAGAACAUGACAAUUGCAAUGGAAGAAUCGCCAGAGAGCUUUGGUCAGGUGGCAAUGCUCUAUAUUAAUUGCAAGGUUAAUGGCAUGCCAGUCAAAGCCUUUGUAGAUUCAGGAGCACAGAUGACAAUCAUGAGCCAAGCAUGUGCUGAGAGGUGCAACAUCAUGCGCUUGGUUGACAGGCGGUGGGCAGGAAUUGCUAAAGGUGUUGGAACACAAAAAAUCAUUGGCAGAGUUCACUUGGCCCAGGUACAGAUUGAAGGUGAUUUCCUCCCCUGCUCUUUCUCCCUCCUGGAAGACCAGCCAAUGGAUAUGUUGCUUGGACUCGAUAUGCUCAAAAGGCACCAGUGUUCAAUUGACCUGAAACGCAAUGUGCUAGUUAUUGGCACAACAGGAACAGAGACACGCUUUUUAUCUGAAGCAGAGUUGCCAGAAUGUGCCAGGCUGGCAUAUGGUGUUCCACGAGAUGAUCUUCGCCCUGAGGAGCUAGCAGACGCAGAGCUGGCUGAGGCACUACACAGAUCAGCAGAGGAAUCUGGUAAUGUUGCAAAAAGUCUUUCCCUUGAACAAAAUUGGUGAAUAUUGUGGGAUGCAGUGAUUUUAAAAUUGAUGCCUACUAGCCUACAUGAUUAUUUUAAAGGCAGAACGGUCCCUGAUCCAGCCCAAAUUUAUGAAUAGUUAGUCUAUAAUAAAUGUUUCACUUGAUGGAUCCUGGGUGAUGUUGUGGUUUCAUGAUCAUUUAGUAGCAAGAAGGUAAGUAGAAACAUUUUCUUCAGUCUUUUGCACAGCUUACUCAAAAUUUUGUGUUUUUAUUUUUAUUUUUGGCUUUAUAAAGGUUCUGCUGGUGUUUAAUACCAUGGGCACCAGCAGACUCUGUUAUCUCUCAAAGUGACAAACUUGUUUCUGAGAUUAGACAAAAAACAUUAGCAGGCCCUUCAAUUAUGAAGGGGUUCCAAGCUGAGUCCAUCCCUGCUCCCAUUCAAACACUACAUGCAUGACAUGAUGAGAUUUUCCUCAGAAGCAACUUUAAUUGACCCUACUACAGUAGCAGAUGAGAGCAAAUUAACUCAGCGUGUCCUGGAGAUUGGACUUGGCACAUUUUGCUCAAUGUGGCUUAGUGUAUGUCAGACAGUUAAAACCGUAUGGAUCUGCACUACUGAGGGAAGUGAGGGCCUGUUCUCUUCCCUAUUCCAUUUUGUUAUAUUUCAAUAUGUCUGUAACAUCAUGUGUGUACUUAUAAUUAACAAGACAUUAGUAUUUACAUUUUUUUCCUGGUCAGUCCAACCCCCAGGCCAGCUUCAGAAGCUGGGAGUGCUAAUGCAAUGAAUACUGUCUAAUAAUAUCGCUCAUACAUGUGUUGUGAUGUUUGUGUGGAAUGUUAAUCUGUUUGAUGUCCAUGGUGAAUUGUAAUACUAUAUGCAUGUUGCAUGCCUCAAUUGGCUAAUCAAGUUUGCUGUUUGGUUUGUUUUGGUUUUUCUUUUAUCCUAACAGGACGCCGGCAUCACUGAUGCAUGUUGCACUUUUGCUGUCCAUGAAGAUGAUCAUAGCCCAGGAAAAGAAAAUGGCAAAACUACCUCAUUGGAAAGUCCUUCAUUACCAGCACCUCAUCAUCUUCCUCUCCCACUUCCCAUUACAAGAAGUGACCUAUCUCAGGCCCCCAAAACCCAAAGUCAGUUGGACCGUUCACUUUCCGUCCCUGCUAGCCUUCCUUCACAAAACCAGAAGUUGGAACUUACAGAUGUAAACAACCUUCAGCUCACUCCUGAGUGCAUGGAACCUCAGGCAGAAAAGCAGGCACUGUCAGGAUCAUUGGCCAAUAAGUUGACCCCUCUCUUUCCUUAUAAUCUGUCUACUCCUUCUCAGGCAUCAUUAGGGGAGAACCACAUACCACAGGGUGAAAGCAUUCCUUGCAGCUCACAAGACCUUUUGAACUAUCCAACUUCAGAUACCAAUGAUGAGUCUCUGCCAAAACAUGUCUUGCCAAACAAGAGUCCGUAUGAGGUUGGCAUGGAAAAGGGUGACACCACGCGUUGUACAACCAAAGCCUGGCAGGAAAUCAUAAACAAAGAAGGUUUAGAGGAACCACCGACAAAAAAAAUUGGAGAGAUUUCUUCAGCUGUACAAUCAAAUAGUGAUCCUGUGUCUGAUCUGGGUUUGGGUAACAGACUAAGCCAACAAGCCUCACCUGAAUUGGCUUUUGCUGCUGGUUCUAACAUAAAUGAAAUGCAGCAAGGCACUGAAACUGGAAAGGGGAUUGAUGAUCCUGACAACCUCAUUAAGCCAUUAGAUAUGGACCUUGAAAUAGCUGAAAAAGAUCCAUGUAGCUGUCAAAAGAAAUUUGAGACUAAUGAAAGACCACCAUCUGAAUCUUCAACUGGAAACAUUGAAAUCUGCGAUGCUGAAAUUGUAAACUCUACUCAGCAGCUGGUAGAGGAAAUUAGAUAUUCAGCAUCAAAAAAGACGGAAAAAAGUAGUCAAAAGGAGGGAAAAGUCACUAUUUCAGAUCAGAAGUUGGAGGAUGGACAUUUAAGUUCAUGCUCCUCCAUUGCUCAGGAGAAUAUGCCUGCUGAGUUAUCAAGUGGCUGUGUGAGGGAAAAGUCUGAAUUUGCUCUUGUCACUGAAAAAGAGCAUGGAGAAGUACAUCCUUUGACUGAGAUUAAACAGUCUUCUUUUGAGCAGGAUCAGACAACAGACUCUGAUUCACAUUUUUCCCCUGUGGCUGCUUUAUUUGAACUACAUCAAAAGUUAGUCGUCUCAUGUCAGGAAGCUUCUUUGAAGAUAUCCGUCAGCUCGGAGGACAACCAUCGGUCAGACAUGACAAAUCAGGAAGAAGGUUUUCAACUAAUGGAGGUGUCUGAAGAAUGUUCAGAUAAUAAUGCUUUGAGCAGAACGUGUGUCAAUGCAGAGGUGGAUACUGUUGCUGUGGAAGAGCAAAACGAACUUUUGUUAACUGCUAAUUCCAAAAUUUCUCCAAAAAGAGACAACAGUGUGGAAAGCUUCAAUGAAUUUCCAGAAAAAUCCACUUCAGAUAUGGCACAAGUUAAACCUAAUGAGAUUUUUGUGCAAGCAUCAAAAGAUGAGGCUGCAGCUUUUAUUACUGUGUCUAAGGAUCAAACAAAGGAAAUGGAAGUUUCCCAUACUGAGGAAUCUUUGCAGACCCAAGAAUUAUCAGUACACCCGCAUGAUUCUGCAGCAGCUGAAAGCAGCCAGAACACUCAAAGUAGUGAGAUACAUUUGCAAGAGAUGACAAAUAAUGUAGUCUGUUCUUCGGAGGACCCAGAGGUUUUAGCUACACCCAUGACAGGGGAAGGGACCAUGGAAGCCAAUAUGAAUCAGCCUAAUAGACAUUCUUUGGGUAGUCCUCUAGAAGUGCUCCCCCUAGCUUUCCCGGCUGCUAAUGUUGCACGAAUAAGACGAUCAGGAUUCACUCAGCAAGAAGCAUUGGAAGCCCUUGAACGUUUUAAUGGCAAUACAGACCUGGCACUUCUGGUUCUCCUCGCAAGAAACAUUGUAGUUCCUAUUUGAAGCUGUCCAGUAAGAGUCUGUAGGACAGUAAUAAGUUGGUACUAUUUUGACAUUUGGUCUACAAUGGAUACUGUGGUGGGUAAAAAGGAAACAUGUUUCAGUCGGAAUCAUUAUUUUUGAAUAGUGUUGGGAAAGACCUGUUUCAGCUGUUGGUAUCAUAGGUGGCAUCUGUCACUGGCAGACCAGUUUUGAGGUCAAGUUGUAGCAACAUUAGUAUUUUAUUUCAGUGCCAUUCUUGAUACCACUUCACUGAAAUAUUCACUAGUAGCCUAUAAGCCAACAAACCUAGUCAAUUCAAGUAUUGGCCUUUGUGCAGUUUAAACUGCCUAUAAUUUUUAACUGCAUAUUCUCCAAGCACAGGAAGAAUUAGUACGAAGAAGUUUGACAUGGCAAGGAGAAGAAAAGACGAAGGUAGCAGGUUUGAAUCCUUGGAAGAUGAUCUACGUGUACGUGGGUAUUCAUGGUGGAAUCAUGUUAGAUUUAAAAUUUUUGCAAGGUCAGUAGUUAUCGCCAUUGGAUUUGGGGGUUACUUGAAUGUUUGACUUAACCAUCAGGAGAAGUGGAAAGUCUCUAUCAUGUUUCCUCCAUAAGGAUAAAAGUUCACGUUCUCACCUUCUGAGUACACAAAUUUUUAGAAUUCCUUUACUGUUUUAUAGCCUUUGUUAAAUCUGACACAGCAACACCACCUCUGCUGGACGUAUGUCACAUUUGAGGCACAUUCAGUAUUCAGUUGGUUUUAAAAAAUGUUUUAUGAAGGUGUUUGUGCUAUUUUUUUUCUUAAAUGACAGUAGUGAUGUUGCUGUAAUCUUCAAUGGCUGCUUAGUGCAACCUCUGGUCUUUGUUUUUUCUUUUUUAAAACCAAAUAAUUAAAAAAAAAGUUAUUGCCAAACAAAA
This is an RNA transcript of Rhincodon typus (whale shark), 5286 nucleotides long. It is a transcript of the gene named DNA-damage inducible protein 2, with no coding region annotated. Lineage: Eukaryota; Metazoa; Chordata; Chondrichthyes; Orectolobiformes; Rhincodontidae. The record is from RefSeq and is a predicted model, not a curated record. The transcript has 9 exons.